UUUAGGUGAUGACUCCAUUCGUGUUUAUUCGUCUUAUUCCCAGUUUAUUUUCCCUCUUUGAUAUAGAUGCUGUUUUCAGCCGGGCGCGUGGGAGCACAGACUGAGAGAGACUUGGCAAAGCGUCGUAUUUUUCCUCUCCAGGACAGCCCUAUACCUGGAGAGAGAGAGAGAGAGAGAGAGCGAGAGCGAGAGCGUUUCUCACUCAGGCAAACCUGAGACUGAACUUGGAUGCAAACUGCUGUAGCUGCCAUUGUCAAGCUGUCAGCGGACUCGUGUAAUUAUCCUCUUGAAAAGUAUCGCGGAGCCAUUAUCCACAAAGUACCCGUUAUAGGUGCUCAGAGGCAACACAUGACGGGACCGGCGCACCAUCAGCAUCCAGUGACGACGUCCACGAGUAGGUGAAGAUGAACCGGCCUUUCUGAUCAAAGGACCCGUCUAUAAAGCUCAAGGCUGGCCUUCCUAGACGGUGAAUCACUGCACACUGGACUGGCCGCCCGGCCACGCCCCCCAACAGUGAUGUCAGAGCAGGUGUUUCCCAUCAGCUGUUAAAGGCCUCACCAUUCACGCCCCUUUGUAACUCGAGCUGCUCAGAUUGAUGGGAGGAUGGCUCUCAUUUGGACCAGGAGAAAAGUGGCCAGUUUAAGGGCUGCUACUGUAUUUUAAACGGCACUGGUGUUAAAGAGACUGAUGUGCCUGGUGGCGUCGGCGGCAACGGUGACCCUCCCUCCUGGCUGGGUGCAAAACUCCCAUUGGGAGAAUAAGAGAGAAGAAGGGGGAAGGAAGGCGGGAGGAGGGGGCGAGGACGGGAAUGAAUCUGCGUGGCGGCGGGAAUCGAUCGUUUCUCCCUCCUUCCCGCGCUAUCUCAUCUGCAGGGGCUGAGAGAGGCAGAGUGGUUUAAACGAUCCUGACCUUGUCCGAC
Long non-coding RNA from Perca fluviatilis (European perch), 919 nucleotides. RefSeq lists it as uncharacterized. The transcript has 4 exons. The record is from RefSeq and is a predicted model, not a curated record. NCBI's taxonomy places the organism in Eukaryota, Metazoa, Chordata, Actinopteri, Perciformes, Percidae.